AAAACGAUGACGAAGUUCGGCAAUAAAAAAAUGUAUGGGAUGACAUAAGCCUUCGCUAAAUCACGUGAUCGAUCGAGAUCGAUAACAAAAUUGGUAGACAAUGUUUACAUUCAUGUCGAAAACGAAACGAAAUCGUCAAUUAGCGAAUUGUUUAUUCGCCUAUUUCAAUACAAAUGCGUAGCCAAGCGGCACUUUUGACGUUCGCUUUCUCUUCGGGAGCGAUCGUUCGAUUCGACAUGUGUUCGCCAUAAUAACGAAAGCUUGGGGGCUGUCGAUAUCGCUACAAAAUGGCCGAAAAUUACAGUCAGCUGUGAUUUGUGUACAAGGGCUACGUUGCGUUAAUACAGUUUUAUUUAUAUAAAAAUGCAUUCUUUACGUUUAUUGUGGGCUGCACAUAAUGAGAAUACCUGGGUGAGGCGUCAAAGGCGAUUUUCAUCAAGAAGACAUAUGGAAACGAUUGAAGAUAUACCGGAAUUGUUGUUUAUACAACAUUUCAGGCUUGAUAAAAAAACUUUUCGACGAUUAUGCGACGAACUAAAAAGAUAUACUGGAUUGAAAGGAUCCAAUGAAAUUUCCCUGGAAGUGAAGGUGCUGUGUACUCUAAGCUUUUUAGCCACAGGGUUAUACCAGACAAUUGUAGGUGUGGGACAAUAUUUGACACAACGGACUACAAGUCGCUGUGUCAGGGAGGUUGUGAAUUCUUUAAAUCACAAUUGGAUGGUCAGCAGGUGGAUAAUGUUUCCACAAACACCACAUGGGAGAUCUUUAAUCAAAGAGAAAUAUGCGAUUUCGAUUUAAAAAUAGUUAAUGUCAAUUCAAAAUUUGGUGGUGCUACACAUGACUCCCACAUAUGGUCCGCUAGUCAUGUAGAGACUUUCAUGCGAGGGCUUCAUGAAAGUGGUGAACAUGUUUGGUUAUUAGGGGAUUCUGGAUAUCCACAGCGACCUUGGUUGAUGACGCUUAUACUAGAUGCUGAACAAGGGUCCCAAGAAGAAAUAUAUACCAGACGUCAUGUGCAAGCCAGAUCUCGCAUAGAACGAUGUUUUGGAUUACUGAAGGCUCGUUGGAGGUGUAUGCUUUGACACCGUGUUCUUCACUAUCAGCCUUACGUGGCUAGCAGAAUUAUUAACGCAUGUUGUGUAUUGCAUAAUAUUGCAAUACAUGCUAAACUACCUGCUCCAACAGAUAUGCCAGCUGAGGCUCUUGAUGGUAGUGAAGAUCAAAGUAUACAGCAUAACACCUCUACAACCAACACUAAUCAAAACGAGUUAAUUCGAGGAAGGGCUAUGUGAAAUUAUCUAGUCAGUAGAAUGCAGCAUUCUACUGACUAGAUAAUUCUGUCUGUAUAUAAUUUAUAGUUUCAUUUUAUUUAAGCUUAAGUAUAUUUUUUUAAGUUAGUAUCAAAUGAAAAAGAAAAUAAUAAUAAUAAUAUAACAAUUUUAAUAAGUA
This is a long non-coding RNA of Amyelois transitella, 1449 nucleotides long. RefSeq lists it as uncharacterized. NCBI's taxonomy places the organism in Eukaryota, Metazoa, Arthropoda, Insecta, Lepidoptera, Pyralidae. The record is from RefSeq and is a predicted model, not a curated record. The transcript is spliced from 4 exons.